CCCUUAGAUGUUCUGGGCCGCACGCGCGCUACACUGAUGCAUUCAACGAGUUCCUACCUUGGCCGAGAGGCCUGGGCAAUCUUUUGAACUUGCAUCGUGAUUGGGAUAGAUUAUUGCAAUUAUUAAUCUUGAACGAGGAAUUCCUAGUAAACGCAGAUCAUCAAUCUGCAUUGAUUACGUCCCUGCCCUUUGUACACACCGCCCGUCGCACCUACCGAUUGAAUGGUCUGGUGAAGCCUCGGGAUUGUGGUUAGUUUCCUUCAUUGGAAGUUAGCCGCGAGAACUUGUCUAAACCUUAUCAUUUAGAGGAAGGUGAAGUCGUAACA
This 326-nucleotide ribosomal RNA is filed under the name uncultured eukaryote. RNAcentral describes it as "partial 18S ribosomal RNA". It matches the Rfam family "Eukaryotic small subunit ribosomal RNA", at positions 1470 to 1796 of the family's 1831-position model. The record is from RNAcentral.